UACGGGGGGGGCAAGCGUUGUUCGGAAUUACUGGGCGUAAAGGGUGCGUAGGCGGUCCGCUAAGUUGGAUGUGAAAACUCUGGGCUUAACCCAGAGCCUGCAUUCAAAACUGACGGGCUAGAGUUCUGGAGGGGGUAGCGGAAUUCCUGGUGUAGCGGUGAAAUGCGUAGAUAUCAGGAGGAACACCGGUGGCGAAGGCGGCUACCUGGACAGAAACUGACGCUGAGACGCGAAAGCGUGGGGAGCAAACAGG
This 253-nucleotide ribosomal RNA is filed under the name uncultured bacterium. RNAcentral's name for it is "partial 16S ribosomal RNA". It matches the Rfam family "Bacterial small subunit ribosomal RNA", at positions 524 to 776 of the family's 1533-position model. The record is from RNAcentral.